GCCCUGCAUUGUUCCCUUUGACUCAUGCAAUACGAACACUUCUUAUUUUUUUUUCUUUUCUUUUUUUUUCGGAUAACAGCUGAACAGGAACUGAAGCACUCCCUACCCACAAAUCCACCGCUACCAAUAACCCAGGGUGAGUUUCACGAAGUUAAAAGAGCAGAAAACGUGGAACGUGGGGCUUUAUGCUGGGAAAUUCCUUUUUCUUUCCAAAUAACAACAACAACAAAAAAAAAAAUGAUCAGAGCUCUAUAAAUUAACAGAUGGGUGUUACAAUUAUUUACACUGGACGAAGCUGAGCGAGAGCCUCGUGCCUCUCUCGGACCAUCUGGGAGCAAAUCGAAGCCAAGGAUAUGGCCGAAGCCUUUCGACCUCAUGUAUCCUAACACCCGAGGGGUCGUAUAAAACGUUAGCUGUAUUCACAGGGCACUUGUUUGUGUUAGCUUUAGCUUUCCAGAUUGCUUUUCAUCAUGAGACCUAACAGCAGGCAGCCUGCUCCUAGCUCUGACGAUGACAAUACAUUCGCAGCGCUUCCUAACUUUUGCAUCGCCAAGAAAUGAAAAGAAAAACAAAUCCACAUUCGUCCUCCUGUGGUGUUGGGGAGUGCUGGCACGCGCUGCCCGCCCGCUCUGACGUCUCCUUUCUACUUCUUCUCCUUCUUGCCAGACUUCUUCUUGUUGCCACCCGAGGGUUUGGCGUCGCGUUUGCCGGCAGCAUUACUCAGUGUGGCGGUGCUGCCCGGGAUGUAGACGUUCUGCCGGUAGUCGGGGACGUGCUGCAGGGUGAACUGGGGGCCGUAGCGGGCGCUCAGCCCCAUGGUGCCUGUGCCCCCACCCAGUGUUGCGUUGACAUCAGCGGCUUCAUUUGCCGAGGCCAG
This 877-nucleotide long non-coding RNA is filed under the name Gallus gallus (chicken). Lineage: Eukaryota; Metazoa; Chordata; Aves; Galliformes; Phasianidae. The record is from RNAcentral.